This 497-nucleotide ribosomal RNA is filed under the name uncultured bacterium. RNAcentral's name for it is "partial 16S ribosomal RNA". It matches the Rfam family "Bacterial small subunit ribosomal RNA", at positions 28 to 507 of the family's 1533-position model. The record is from RNAcentral.
GACGAACGCUGGCGGCGUGCCUAAUACAUGCAAGUUGAGCGCUGAAGGUUGGUACUUGUACCAACUGGAUGAGCAGCGAACGGGUGAGUAACGCGUGGGGAAUCUGCCUUUGAGCGGGGGACAACAUUUGGAAACGAAUGCUAAUACCGCAUAAAAACUUUAAACACAAGUUUUAAGUUUGAAAGAUGCAAUUGCAUCACUCAAAGAUGAUCCCGCGUUGUAUUAGCUAGUUGGUGAGGUAAAGGCUCACCAAGGCGAUGAUACAUAGCCGACCUGAGAGGGUGAUCGGCCACAUUGGGACUGAGACACGGCCCAAACUCCUACGGGAGGCAGCAGUAGGGAAUCUUCGGCAAUAGACGAAAGUCUGACCGAGCAACGCCGCGUGAGUGAAGAAGGUUUUCGGAUCGUAAAACUCUGUUGGUAGAGAAGAACGUUGGUGAGAGUGGAAAGCUCAUAAAGUGACGGUAACUACCCAGAAAGGGACGGCUAACUACGUG